RNAcentral lists this ribosomal RNA (1027 nucleotides) under Salmonella enterica subsp. enterica serovar Mikawasima. RNAcentral describes it as "bacterial SSU rRNA". It matches the Rfam family "Bacterial small subunit ribosomal RNA", at positions 1 to 1017 of the family's 1533-position model. Lineage: Bacteria; Pseudomonadati; Pseudomonadota; Gammaproteobacteria; Enterobacterales; Enterobacteriaceae. The record is from RNAcentral.
AAAUUGAAGAGUUUGAUCAUGGCUCAGAUUGAACGCUGGCGGCAGGCCUAACACAUGCAAGUCGAACGGUAACAGGAAGCAGCUUGCUGCUUCGCUGACGAGUGGCGGACGGGUGAGUAAUGUCUGGGAAACUGCCUGAUGGAGGGGGAUAACUACUGGAAACGGUGGCUAAUACCGCAUAACGUCGCAAGACCAAAGAGGGGGACCUUCGGGCCUCUUGCCAUCAGAUGUGCCCAGAUGGGAUUAGCUUGUUGGUGAGGUAACGGCUCACCAAGGCGACGAUCCCUAGCUGGUCUGAGAGGAUGACCAGCCACACUGGAACUGAGACACGGUCCAGACUCCUACGGGAGGCAGCAGUGGGGAAUAUUGCACAAUGGGCGCAAGCCUGAUGCAGCCAUGCCGCGUGUAUGAAGAAGGCCUUAGGGUUGUAAAGUACUUUCAGCGGGGAGGAAGGUGUUGCGGUUAAUAACCGCAGCAAUUGACGUUACCCGCAGAAGAAGCACCGGCUAACUCCGUGCCAGCAGCCGCGGUAAUACGGAGGGUGCAAGCGUUAAUCGGAAUUACUGGGCGUAAAGCGCACGCAGGCGGUCUGUCAAGUCGGAUGUGAAAUCCCCGGGCUCAACCUGGGAACUGCAUUCGAAACUGGCAGGCUUGAGUCUUGUAGAGGGGGGUAGAAUUCCAGGUGUAGCGGUGAAAUGCGUAGAGAUCUGGAGGAAUACCGGUGGCGAAGGCGGCCCCCUGGACAAAGACUGACGCUCAGGUGCGAAAGCGUGGGGAGCAAACAGGAUUAGAUACCCUGGUAGUCCACGCCGUAAACGAUGUCUACUUGGAGGUUGUGCCCUUGAGGCGUGGCUUCCGGAGCUAACGCGUUAAGUAGACCGCCUGGGGAGUACGGCCGCAAGGUUAAAACUCAAAUGAAUUGACGGGGGCCCGCACAAGCGGUGGAGCAUGUGGUUUAAUUCGAUGCAACGCGAAGAACCUUACCUGGUCUUGACAUCCACAGAAGAAUCCAGAGAUGGAUUUGUGC